CACGUAGAGGGCAAGCGUUGUCCGGAUUCAUUGGGCGUAAAGAGCUCGUAGGCGGCUCAGUAAGUCGGGUGUGAAACCCUCAGGCUCAACCUGGGGACGCCACUCGAUACUGCUGUGGCUAGAGUCCAGUAGAGGAGUGUGGAAUUCCCGGUGUAGCGGUGAAAUGCGCAGAUAUCGGGAGGAACACCAACGGCGAAGGCAGCACUCUGGGCUGGAACUGACGCUGAGGAGCGAAAGCGUGGGUAGCAAACAGG
RNAcentral lists this ribosomal RNA (254 nucleotides) under uncultured bacterium. RNAcentral describes it as "partial 16S ribosomal RNA". It matches the Rfam family "Bacterial small subunit ribosomal RNA", at positions 524 to 776 of the family's 1533-position model. The record is from RNAcentral.